This 681-nucleotide ribosomal RNA is filed under the name Hypotrachyna osseoalba. RNAcentral's name for it is "partial small subunit ribosomal RNA". It matches the Rfam family "Bacterial small subunit ribosomal RNA", at positions 454 to 1097 of the family's 1533-position model. Lineage: Eukaryota; Fungi; Ascomycota; Lecanoromycetes; Lecanorales; Parmeliaceae. The record is from RNAcentral.
UCUAGGUAGAAUUAUGAUAAUGACAUUGUCUGCCUAUGUGUCUUGACCAAAUUACGUGCCAGCAGUCGCGGUAAUACGUAGAAGACUAGUGUUAUUCAUGUUUAAUCGGUUUAAAGGGUACCUAGACGGCAGAUCAAGCUUUCCGAGCAGAAAAAAAGUAAAAAGGACUAAUUUGCUAGAGUUACUUACGAGGGGGUUUUAAAGUACUGCUGGUGUAGAGAUGAAAUUCUUUAAUACCUAUUUUCGAAAGAAUUAUAAUGGCACAGGUAUAGGCGAAGGCAUCCCCUUAUGUGAUAACUGACGUUGAGGGACGAAGGCUUUAUACAACGAACGGGAUUAGAUACCCCAUUAGUGGAAGCAGUAAAUGAUGAAUGUCAUAGAUUAGUAGAUAGGUUCAUUCUAUAAAUGAAAGUGUAAGCAUUCCACCUCAUGAGUAAUAUGGCAACAUUGGAAUUGAAAUCAUUAGACCGUAUUUGAAACCAGUAGUGAAGUAUGUUGUUUAAUUUGAUGAUCCGCAAAAAACCUUACCACAAUUUGAAUAUUUAUAUUUUUUUUUUUUGUCCUUAAUUUUCUUCUAAAGUGGAAAGAAAUUAAUAAAGAGGCAAUAAGAUAUAUUUACAAGCGUUGCACGGCUGUCUUCAGUUAAUGUCGCGAGAUUUUGGUUAGAUCCAUAAAAUUAAC